GUUAAGCUGCACUAAUUUUUCGGGCGCUAGGACCCAGGUGUUGAACAGCAACAAUGUGUAUCACUACCUGCUGUAAACAUGGUUACUAGUGUCUAGUGCACACAGGUUAGCAGUAGAAAGGAAGAAACCGCUUUUACUAAGCAUUUACUGUAUGUGUUCCUUUUGUUAAAAUAUUUGGAAAUGUCUGCUACUUGCUUAAAAUAUCCAAACACAUCCAGGUUUUACGGUUGGUUUGAACUGAGGAUGUUAUCAGCCGCUCUUGGGUUCCCUAGCUGUCUCCUCAUUGAUUGUCUGCCAUCAGAGCUGGUUAAGGGAGAGCUGGGCCUCCGCUCCCAGGACCUGCAGAGACUAAUAGAUCAGGACUGUUUCACUGCUGCUCUGAAUUUCUCCUAUAAUAUGAAAAGUGGGAUCCACAAUGUGAAAACACUCAAGAAGUGCAUCAAUCUGCUGGAUUGCAAGAGUCUUAGCUUUACGGAGAUUAAAGAGGCAAAAUUGGCUUUCUCGGUUUACGAGAGCUUGGAUCAAAAAGGUAUGAAGCUGAGCCAGCGGACGUUGCUGAGAGCAUUCAAGAUGUGCGGACGAGCGAUCGCUCCACUGAAGCUCGCACACAGAAUUAAGCACCUGAGGGCUGGCUUUGCUGAAGAAGGACGACUGCAGCUCUAUGAGUUCCUUGACCUUCUGCCCCUCUGUGAGCCCCAGGAUAAUGUUCUCAUCCGGGAUAGCUGGGCUGGGUCGACGGAGAUGAUAAAAGGAAACACGUACAAGCUGGAUAAUGACUCUUCCCUCCUGGGGCCUGAGGACCAUAGAGUGGGUCAGCAUCUGAACCAGUGCUUCUUGAAGGAAGAGUGGGAUUAUGGGAUAAUUUCCACAGAGAGUCGCAAACUGACAGAACCUUCAUUGCUGCCCUCUUUCUGGCUGCAGCAGGAGUCUUUGGUGGGUGCGCAAAACCAGACUUGUACACAAACACAGAGUUCUCAAGAGGCCUACUCCAUGCAGAACCCUUCGAGGGUCCCGUUGAAAGGCAGCGCAGCGAAAGCUGGUUUGGAGGACUCUGAGACAUGGACUUGGGUAGUCUCUGUGCCCCAGCUGAAGAGUGGCCACUAUACCCCAACCAAGAUUGAACCCAUUCUCACAGAGUAUGAGCUGGCCAAGACAGAGAGAAUGAGGUCAGCUCUCCAGUAUGACAUGGACACACUGGAGGAAAGGAGCCAGUGGGAGCUGCAGUGGAAGAUGGGUCACUACCUCCCUGGCCGUGAAGCUCCUGCUGCCGAGAGACCCCGAUCAGGGGCUGUGAGUGCAGUCCAACCAGUGAAGGAGAGACGUGCACCUGUUCAAGAUGUGUUUGACAGGCUGUACUCUGGAGUGAAAAGGGGAACAUCUGCAUGCCGGCAAGCAAGGUGCACUGCCCUCACCCUGGGAAAAAGGACUGUACCGCCUUCUACCACAGCUGUCACUCCAAUUAGACUUACCCGCCAGCUGAAAAACAAAAAGAAGUUCUGAAAACUGCUUCCUGAAAGUGCUGUGUGUAAAACAGCCAUAUGGGCAUGUUAAACGCCCCCAAUAGUCAUGUUUGAGCAAGCAACAAGAAACAACUGGAGAAUUUAUUUGAUGACAGACAUGUCUUCUAGUAUGGUGUGGACUGAAAAUGAGAUAUUUAUCUCAAAAUAUUUUAAAGUUGAUUUUUUUUUUCCCUCAGGUUUGCCUCUAUUCAUUCAAAUUCUUAUGUUUUACAAACAAAUCAACCUUUUGAAGUAUGGGUUGAAAAGUUUGGAAACCUAGAGAAGGUCAGUUCCCCUUGGUCUACAGAGACCCCCGUUCUCUGUCCUGGAUAUUGUGAAGUCUAAACUUGGAAUAGGUAAUCUGUGCCACCAUCAUCCAUUAUACAGUAGCAUGCUCCCACCCCCACAGUGUAAAUAACAUACUGUAUAAAAAGAAAUAAAAUCUGAAAUCCUCCCGUUCAGGUAGCAGUGGGCUUCCCUGAAAUUAGAAAGUCCAUGAUGAUCAGUCAACCAUACUACAGGCUCAUAAACCAGCCAUGUGAGGCAGAUCUUCUCCCGUGCCUAAAAUAAAGCCCUGAAUCAUGGAUACCACCAGACUGCAGUUCUCCUGUGGUUUAGUAUGGGUAACAUUUGUGUAACCGCUGGAAUUUACAUUUCAACAAAUCGGAUUGACAGAAUGGUGCUUUACUGUAAAUCAGUAAAUGAUUAAUGAAAUGAAAGAUUUUGAAGACUGCGUGUGAGCUAAAAUGUGAUAGAUUUUGACAGGUUUCUGUAAUCCAUUCGGAAAACUGCUGUCAUUUGCGUGGUAUGGCAUUGAUAUAAUGGCAGCAAAGCUAAAGAAGAUAUUCUGCAACUAACUGAAACAGUUCACAAUAGAUUUGUGAAAUAAUACAUGCGCUUUAAUCUUGAUUUGAAAAGGGGUUAUAAAACAUCAAAUAAAAAGAGCGUAAAAAGCAUAUGUUGUGUAGGUUAAGCCCAUGGGCACACUUUGGGUGUCAGCGAUGAUAUGUGUUCAGAACUGGGGGCGCCUCUCUUUUGUCUGUAGAUGCUCUUUCCUGGAUGAAUUUCAGGAGGUCUCAAGAGAACUGGGGUUAGAAAUGAGAACAUCUUGGCAGCUCCACAGUACAGUGUUCAUAUAUAUAUAACAUAUAAGGGACCUAGACUUAUUUUUCUCGCAAUUGUUUUCAUUUCUUGCCAAACAAGUCAGAUAAACUUAACUUAAGUCGCAGUGGCUGAGAUAAAUCAUUGUAAUACAGCAGAGCAUCGAUUAUCCAGUGGCCUGAGGGGAAGGGGUUGCCGGAUUUUCAAAAAUGCCACAUAAUCCCAUCAAAGUUUCUAUAGUAACUUGUUUUUGAACAUUCUUUCCUUUUGGAUAUUGUGUACUGUAUAUGCAUUUAAUAUUUCGAAUUUAAAAACGCAAAUAGACUACAUACAAAACACAUUAAUUUGCUUAAUGCAAAGUACAAUGCAUUACCAUUUAGUACAACACCUUAUAGAUGAAAACUAAAAUGUGGUUUGUAAAUACUUUAUACUGUAUUUUCACCAGUUUGGCCUGUAAUCAGCAGAAAAUGUUGGAAGCAGGAUUAUAAAAUAAAUAAUAAGAGUAUUCUGUAUGUAAUUAAUCAGAAUUCACUCAAUUUACAAUGUAAAAUGAAUUCUGCAUGGUACAGUAUGUUGUAAUUUCAGGAUAUUCAAAACAAUCUUGCUAUGCCCUAACCCUUCACUCAAAUCACUGAUGCAUGUAGAGCUUUUCAGACCUACUGUACAAUAAUACUAAUACUUGCUGAUCAAUGAAACUUUUUUUAUACAUGUGGGUCAUCUCAGGUGAAAUUAAAAUCUUUCUUAUGGGUUCUUUUCCAUGCAAUUUGCUCCUGCUGUGAGAUCUGGUUCGUAACUGACAAGUGAAAGCAUGAGGCAUUUUUUCCCAACUUUCUUUUUUAAUUCCCAAAUGAGGGAAAAAUCAACAACUGUACAAUUAGCUAAACAGAAAAUCUAAAAUUAUGUUCAUCUGAUAGCCUUUUGAUGAUUGCUCAUUGUUAUUCAAAAUGCUCAGCAAAGUUAAGUUGACCUUACAGGUGAUAGUUUCUCUCUGGAUAGGUAAUUAAUUUAAUUGCUUUAUGUUAUUUAUAGAAAUACCAUGCUGCAUGAAGAAUUGAAAUUUGUUGAUGGCAUGAUAAACUACCUAAACGAAUGUUUCUGAAAUAAAAUCCUGUUGCAG
Lepisosteus oculatus (spotted gar) is the source of this 3717-nucleotide long non-coding RNA. Lineage: Eukaryota; Metazoa; Chordata; Actinopteri; Semionotiformes; Lepisosteidae. The record is from Ensembl.